Molecule: long non-coding RNA, 368 nt
Filed under: Nicotiana benthamiana
Lineage: Eukaryota; Viridiplantae; Streptophyta; Magnoliopsida; Solanales; Solanaceae
Description: long non-coding RNA (NBEN_LNC024335)
Source: RNAcentral
CCCCAAUAGCUCUUUUUGAAUGGACAUCUGAGAUAGCAUCAAGCCGAGCACAAAACAGAUCUGGGCUGCUAAUAAGGAGGACUGUUAAGCCUUCUAGCAUAGGUGAUGCCUUCCCAAGGUCUGGUCUCUUCGGUACAGGUACGGACUUUGAGAAGACGGCCUUUUUCUUUUACUGUGUGGAAUAAGAGCGGGUGCCUUUCAUUUAUCAAGACUAGAUAAACCAAAGCAGUCUACGAUUGCCGGGUUUUUUAGGAAUGGAAUUUAUAGGAAGAUUAGCGGAACCGCCAGGAAUCAGUACUGCGUCGACUGCUAUGUGCUAAAGACUGCGGAAUAAGAGCUCUUAGUCCUUUCGGCACGGCAUAAAAUAA